RNAcentral lists this long non-coding RNA (22380 nucleotides) under Homo sapiens (human). Its description in RNAcentral is "HSALNT0179088". Lineage: Eukaryota; Metazoa; Chordata; Mammalia; Primates; Hominidae. The record is from RNAcentral.
AGUGAAGGAGCAAAGGGGACUCGGCCGCCAUGUUAGGAGUACUGGGACGAUUCCGCGGAGCCGGGCAGAGGUUUUAGGGGUGCGCAGGAGUCAAGUGGUGGUUCAGUGGGGACGGAAUGAUUAACAAAGGCGUCCGAAGAAAUCGUUGUUGGAAGGUGACCAAGGUGGAAAGAGACGUUGCUUUGGCCCUGCAAGUAAGAAGAGAGAGGGAAUAGCCUGAAGGAGUAACACUAAAUUUAAAAUGACACUUUUUUACCAACCAGCGAAAGCAGAUGUUCAAAGGGGAUAUUGGCCAGAGUCUGUCACACUAAGAUGAGAAAUGUCCUUUCUUCCUGAAGGUGUCUGAUGUGUAAAAAUAUGAUAUACUUUGUGCUGUUUCCUCCCUUCCCUUUUGCAUAUUAUUCUGAAACAACAUUAACUAGUUACUUUGCGUCAUUGAAGGUAUGCACUUCCCCUCUAUGUUAGGAGUGAAUAAAAUUAAAAAUAGAUCCUUAUAACAAAGAAAGGCAGAUAGAAUGAUUAAAAAUGACCAAAACAUGUUAGAAACAGUCUCUCAGGUGUAUGCAGAUGGUAAUUACAAAAAUACUUUUUCAAAAAAUGAUCUUCUGUGUCAUGUUUCUGGGAACAAGUCAAGAUGAAUGAGUUUGAUUUUUAAGCAGAAGUAGUAUGUGUUGGUGUCAUCCAUGAAUACAACAAUGAAAAAGGCUCAAAGUUGUUGUUAUUCAGAAACUUCUCUAAGUAAUGGUGGUAAGUACAGGAAAAGGAGCAAUGUCUACCAUUUUCUUUCUAACCUUCGAUUUAACUAUUGUAAUGUUGUAAGCUUAACAGAGACUUACACUUAGGCUUAAUUUCAAGCUCUUCAAUCAUUUUUCCCGGUUGGUGAUUCAGGUGUAUUCUCAUGUCUUAUGUAAACUUAUCAUGAGUGUUGUUGAUUUAUAAUAUAUUUCUUUAUGUAAGCCAUAGCCUUGUCAGUUUGAGUUAUAUGGAAGACAAAUUGUAGGGAAAAAGAGCAACAGAUUACUCAGAAACCUUCUGUGUGAGCUGGGCAUAGUAGUGCAUGCCAGUAGGCUUAGCUACUUGGGAGGCUGAGGCAGGAGGAUCACUUGAUCCCAUUAGUUUGAGGCUGCAGUGAGCUAUGAUUGUGUCACUGUACUCCAAUCUGGACAACAGUGAGACUAUGUCUGUUUUUAAAAAAGAAAGAAAGCUUGUGUUUGAGAAGUGAUACCUCUAGAAUACAGUGAUUUCUAUAAUUUGUCAUGUGUUUGGGUAGUUUGAAGUUUUUCUAUCCUUGUAUCUAAUGGACAUCUGACCAUAAAGAUGAAAAAAUCCUGCACUCAUUAUAAAUUUUAUUUAUAAAAUUGAUAUUUGAGGAGUUGGGGAGGCCAGCUUCUGAAAAAAUAACAGUGUCCCAUAGAAACACCACAACUUAGGAAAAUAUUGUUAAAGUGGAAUUAGGAAUAUCUAGAGGAGGUAAAGCUUUUCAUCUCUCAAAAAAGAAUUAGGGCCAGGCACAGUGGCUGACACCUGUAAUCCUAGCACUUUGGGAGGCCGAGAUGGGCACAUCACUUGGGGCCAGGAGUUCAAGACCAGCCUGGCCAACAUGGCGAAACCCCAUCUCCAAGAAAUAGAAAAGUUAGCCAGGUGUGGUGGCGUGCGCCUGUAAUACCAGCUACUAGGGUGGCUGAGGCAGGAGAAUCGCUUGAACUGGGGAGGUGGAGGUGGCAGUGAGCAGAGAUUGAGCCACUGUACUCCAGCCUGGGCAACAGCAAGACCCUAUCUCAAAAAAAUAAUAAAGAGAAUUAGGACAUGGAUUUGUAUUAAAAUUAUAGGUAGCUCAUUUAAGAGUAUGAAGCCAAUUGCUGUUAGAGCAAGGGUUUUUUUCAGUAGAGGUGUCAGGAUAACCUAUACAGCUCUAAAAGUAUAUGGCUGUUACCUUCCCAUCCCUGUUGAAAUCUCCAGGGUUAGAACCAAGUAUUGUGUUUUUAAAACUAUAGGUGAGUCUACAAGAGUUGGGUGGAGUAGUCCUCUACAUCCUGUGUUUGUAUUUUUGCAGUAAGUCACACAAUAACAAAAGCUUUGAGAAAGAUUUUAGGUUUAUUGCUAAUUAUACCCAUGAAUGAAUUCUGAAAAUGUGUAGAUAAGGAAUUUACCUGGUGAACGGUUUACACAUGGCAAUUGUGGGAGGGAGAGGGGAGUGAGAGGAGAUGAGAUCAGUUUUAGCUUUAAGAGGACCAACCGGGCCAAGCACGGUGGCUCACGCCUGUAAUCCCAGCACUUUGGGGCCGAGGUGGGUGGAUCACGAGGUCAGCAGUUCAAGACCAGCCUGACCAACAUGGUGAAACCCCGUCUCUACUAAACAUACAAAAAAUUAACUGAGUGUGGUGGCGGGUGCCUGUAAUCCCAGCGACUUGGGAGGCUGAGGCAGGAGAAUCGCUUGAAACUGGAAGGCGGAGGUUGCAGUGAUCCGAGAUUGUGCUAAUGCACUCUAGCCCGGGCAAUAACAGCAAAACUCCCGUUUAAAAAAAAAAAAAAAAAAGGGACCAACCAUGAUAUCCUGACUAACCUGUAUAUUUCUUAGAAUGAGGGUUUAGCCUAAUAUUAAGAAAGUCUAAUGUUAAGAGACACCUAGUAAGAGCUCAACGCUGUGGUAAAAUUAUGAUAGUUAUGCAGAAACUUAAAAGCUGAAGUAUCCAGAGACAAUAUAUUGUUUAGAAUUUUCUGAAAAUAAAAAUUUUCUUGCCCUAAGUCUUGAAUUUUUAAGUUAUUGAUGUUAAUAUUUAUGAUCUUUGAACAAAUGAUAUUAUAAUAGAGUAUCUUUUAGGUCACAGAGACCCCUUUUUAGAGCUGAGAAAUCUUACAAAUUCCUCAGCCCAUGUUUUACAGAUAAGGAAAUGGGCAUGCACACAGUGAAAUUAAAAAUUGCUAGUGGUCACACUGUACAUUGAUGGCAAAGGCAGGGCAGAAUUAGAAUCCAAUUAUCUUACCUGUUCAGUGUCUUUAAUGAUACAGCAAGCUCACCACUGUUUCUCUUUACUCUUUAAACAGUGGAUUUUUUUUGUCAUGAUUUUGAUUUCUUGUAUAAUGCAGUUCAAUACUUGUUUAAUUUUAAUGUUGGACUCUCAAUUUUUAAGACAGUAGUACACAUGAAAUGUGCUUUAUAUUUUAUGUUUCAACAAGAAAAUACACAUUUUCCUUUUAAUAGAGGAGCUUAAGUUCCUAAUUUAAAUAAUUGAGUAUGAGCUUCAGAUACUUCAGAGUGGUAUUAAUAAACUUUGCUUUUCCAAAUGGUUUCAGAUAAGCAUUUAAUAUUCAAAGCUUCCUCUUUACAGCUUAGGAAGUGGUCUGGUUAAGUGACUUGAGUUCAUACAGGAAUAUAUCGGUAUGUUCCUAAUUCCCAUCAAGUGUACCAUUAUGUAAUCAUAUAAUCUUGCUAACAGAUCUAACAGAUUACUUUUUUUUUUUUUUUUUUUUUGAGACAGAGCCUUGCUCUGUCGCCCAGGCUGGAGUGCAGUGGCGCGAUCUCUACUCACUGUAACCUCCGCCUCCCAGGUUCAAGCAAUUCUUCUGCCUCGGCCUCCCAAGUAGCUGGGACUACAGGCAGGCACUACCACACCCGGCUAAUUUUUGUAUGUUUAGUAGAGACGGGGUUUCACCAUGUUGGCCAGGCUGGUCUGGAACUCUUGACCUCAAGUGAUCCGUCUGCCUCUGCCUCCCAAAGUGCUGGGAUUAUAGGAGUGAGCCACUAUGCCUGUCCUCUAGGGAAAAUCUUUAAUUCAUUCUGGACAAUGAGAAAACUUUUAUUUUUACUUUUAGUUAACAAUACUCAGGAAAAUAAAAAGUGUGCUUUUUAAUCUUAGUAACCCAAUUUGAGUUUGAAACAAAUUUACAUAAUUUUAGCUGCUUAAUAUGCUGCUGAAGAUAAAUGCAGUAAAUAUCCCAAGGUCAAGAUUUGAAAUCCAAAUGUCCAUAGUAAUGAUUAACAGGAAAAGAGAGUCCUCUGUUAACUUUAUUUCUCAAUUUUUUACAGGUUUGGAUAAUUAAGGGAGCACUAGAAAACUUUUUUUUUUUUUUUUGAGAUGGAGUCUGUUGCCCAGGCUGGAGUACAGUGGUACGGUCUCGACUCACUGCAAUCUCCGCUCCUGGGUUCAAGUGAUUUCUCUUGCCUCAGUCUCCUGACUAGCUGGGAUUUACAGGCGCAUGCCACCAUGCCCAGCUAAUUUUUGUAUUUUUAUUAGAGACGGGUUUCAUCAUGUUGGUCAGGCUGGUCUCAAACUCCUGACCUCGUGAUCCACCCGCCUCGGCCUCCCAAAGUGCUGGGAUUACAGGUGUGAGCCACCGUGCCCAGCCGAAAAUGUUUCUUUGCAAGGAUAAAUAUAUGAAGAUAAACUUGCCGAGCGUAAAUAUGUUCAUGAAUAUAGCCACUUAAGGAAAUUCAAACAUGCAGAGAUGUUCAGCUGUAUGCAGUUAUGUAUUCAUGAAGUAUUCAUGUAUUCAUGAAGCCUUAUUUGAUGUAGAAUCUGAGGGUGCUGCCUAUACAUAAACUUGCUUAAAGGUUAAAACUUAAGGAAUGUUCAUCAAAGUCACUUUCUUACACCUAACUCCUGAUUUCAUGAAUAUAACACAUAGGUGCUUAUCAAACUGAAUACCUUGGAGAUGAGCUGCUCCAGCACCAGAAGAUAAAAUUCAGUAACUGUAAUCCUUGAGGUACCUAAGUGAUACAUUUUUUUUAAGACUGAGCCAAAAUAAAACAGCUUUCCUCCUUCCCUACCCUCUCCGACCAAACUUUUAGCCAUUUUAUUUAUUUAUUUAUUUGAGAUGGGGUCUAGCCAUGUGGAGUGCAGUGGCUAUUCACAAGCAUGAUCAUAGCAAAUGACAGCCACAGACUCCUGGGUUCGAGCAAUCCUGCCUCAGCCACUCAAGUAACUAGGACUACAGGCGUAUACUGGGGCUUCUAGCCAUUUAUAUGGUAUUAAGUGACAGCUUCUAUAGUUACUUGGUACUUGUCCCUGUAAAACUGCACAGUGUGUAUUCUCUUGGCUCAAUUAUUAGCAUAUUCUGCCAUUUCCUUGUGAAUGUUUUGUAUUUUAUAUAGGAAAACUUAAGUUUUUAAAUAUCCUGAAAUAACUGAAGAAUUUUGUUUUUGCCUUUAAGUGGUAAUGUAUAAAGUAUACUAUUGCAGAGAUACUUACAGAGUGCUUUCAUUGCAAUUAAAAUACUGCAGCUAACUAGCAUGUUCCAUAUGUGUAAUCUAAAUGACAUACUGGUCAUGUGCUAUUUCUAUGGAAUACUAACAGUAGUAUGGUACAUUUAUGCAGUCUCAACAGUUUAAAGUGUUAUUUUGGUGAUAAACUGUUUACAUUUAUUUGUUUUUAUAUUUGGCAGUCUAAAUGCAAGAGUCUCCAUUUCAGCUCUUUACUCUGCAUAUCUUUAAUGUUGGGCAUUAUGCCUCUUUCUUGAGUUUCAGUCCUAUGACUGUUCCAUUUUCAGUAUUCAUGUUUAUGUGUCUUUCUAAAAUUGUUUUGCUUCUGUUUCUUGCUGCUCUUGAGACAAUUUAUGGGCAAAUUUUGUUACUUUUCAACUGGCCGUGUAUUUCCCUGUGAAGAGUUGCUGGAUUGUCUCAUUUUCCAGAUAAACUGAAUUAAUGUAGUAGUGAGGAGAAGCCAGAUUUCAGAGGUUUGACAAGUGAACAAAUGGGAAUGAGAAAAGAAGUAGGUACUUAAACUUUUAAGAAGUUUGGCUCUGAAAAAGGCAAGAAAUAAUGGGUUAGAGAGGGCAGGAUUGUAAGGAUUUAAGAUAGGAGAAGAGGCAUAAGCAUAUUUAAAUUUCCCUACUUAAGGGCCAAAAUCAUACUGUACCUCAGUCUGAACUUUUUAAAGGAAUUCAAGGACACAAAAUUCUGCCCUGCCCUGAAAUCCAGUCAGGAGGAAGGGAGAAGAGCUCUGAAGUACUUUUGUAAUUUUCUUCUACAUAAUAAUUGAUUUUUGUUUGAUUAUUUUUCUUUCCUAUAGCUCCUGUUUGCCAGGUUUUUCAUAGCUGCCUAUUUAACCAAACUUGUACUCCCAAGAAUAGUGCAUAUUUAUGAUUCUUAAUUCCAAAAACACAUGGCAAUGAUAAUGUCUCUGCUUCUUUUGAGAAAUUAACUUGGUUCUGAAAGAUGGUGUUUGCUUUUCACACCUGUAUCAUUAAUACUUCCUUGCCAAACCUAACUAGGAUCCUCACCACCACUGUUAGAGAAAACUGAUGCUCAGUUGAACCAGAAUGUUAAAUGUGAACAGGAUUUGUCUGUGUUGUUGCCCAGCUAUGUUUAUCCAUACACAUUACCUGGAGGAAGAGAAAUCUGAGAUAAUUGAGUUGAUUAGAUUACUUACAUGAAGAUGGUUUAAUUGUAUCAAUACAGAAAAAUGCACAAGGAAAGAAACUGACACCUUAAGGCAACAAAGCCCUCCAUAAAAAGUAACCGAAUUUUGAGAGUUACGAACUAAUGUCCAUUACCUGAAGUCCUUCUCAUUCCAUUACCCAGUAACAUAAAUCAAAUUCAGUAAAUAAGCUGCUUUAUGUCUUGAGAAAUUUAACUGGCAGAAUAAAUGGAAAGAAGUCAGUAAAAAGGGAGCAGUUGAACAAGCAUGGUGUCUCACACCAAUAACCCCAGCACUUUGGGAGGCCGAGGCAGGUGAAUCACUUGAGGUCAGAAGUUCAAGACCAACCUGGCCAACAUGGUGAAAACCCAUCUCUACUAAAAAUGCAAAAAUUAGCUGGGCUUGGUGGCAGGUGCUUGUAAUCCCAGCUACUCAGGAGGCUGAGGCAGGAGAGUCACUUAAAACCCAGGAGGCAGAGGCAGUGAGCUGAGAUCGUGCCACUGUACCCCAUCCUGGGCAACAGGACGAGGCUCCAUCUCAGGGAAAAAAAAAAAGAAAAAGCUGAGCAUGGCGGCAUGUGCCUGUAGUCUUAGCUACUCAGGAGGCUGAGGCAGGAGGAUCACUUGAGCCCAGGAGUCGUAGGUUGCAGUGGUGCCAUUGUGUUCCAGCCUGGGUAAGAGUAAGGCCCUGUUUCAGUAAAAAGAAGGGAGUAACCAAGACAGGUAGGGAUUCAGUAUAAUAAAAGUCAAAAGUAGUUGUUUAUUACUAGAGCCUGGCACUGUAACCUGGUAUGUCCAAAUGUGAUUUAAUUUGCUCUCAAGAUGUGCACCAGAAGAAAUAACCCGAGGCAUUUCAAAGAAAAAACAAAAUGUGACCUGCUAGUUCUGUUACUCUGCCACAAGUUAACACAUUUUGAACUUAAGUGCAGAGUCCCAUACAUCCAGUGUGACUCCCCAAAUCUCAAAAAUUUAGGCUAAAACCUAAUUUUGUGUCCAAGCCAGUGCCUGCUUGUUCCUGCUGAAUUUAAAACUUUGGGUCCAGCAAUCUUCUAUCGCUGGAGGGAGGGAGAGGUAUGAAAAUAAUGUUUAAUGGUAAUUGUUUAUUGUCAUGGGCCCAUAUUAUACCCAGAUUUAGAGAGCUAUUUGACACACCUGUAACCUAAUGUUUAUUUUAACUUAAUAUCUGCUCAGUCAGGUAAGAGAUGCAACUUCACAGAGGUCCAUUUAACGUGCCUAAACCUAAGUAGAAACACAAAAGCUAUGUAUAGUCCCUUGUUUGAGAUAACACUAAAUUUUUAGAGAAUAGCUUGGUACUGUGGUAGACAGAGUUCACUUAAAAUGCAUUUAACAAUUUACAGAUAACUGGAAAGUAAUUCAUUCAUCUUAGAACCCUGGUAGGGACAUUCUAUUAAAAUAUUUGUGUACUAGUUAAAGUCAAAAUAGAAAUACAGCCUAUCACACGGUAUUUAUACUAUGCAUUAUGAUUAAUAAAGCCACCUAAGGUCGUUACUCCAUGAUCAUGGGAAGUUGUUAGUCAUUAAGAGUUCGGGUUUAGCAACAAAAAUCUUGCGUUUGAAUCUAAACACAUUACAUGAUUUUAAGCAUGUUCAUCAUUCUGAGAUUAAAUAAAAAUUAAGGAAAUAUAUGAAAAAUGCUUAAUAAGUACCCAAAAGGUAAUAUGGUGUAGCAACUUAGAAUGUAGACUUCAGAGCCAGUCAGCUAGGAUUAAAAUGACACUUCGGCCAAUCACUGUUGACUAUAAGCAAGUUAUUUAACUCUGCCUCAGUUUUGUCUGUGAAGUAGGGAUAAAAUCUUCCUCGCUAGGUUGCUAUAAGAAUUAAAUGGAUAUAUUAAGUACUAUCAUGUGAGAUCACUUUAUUUGAGGCUAAAAAAAUUUUUUUUAACUAGGAUUCACUGAAAAUACAUCUAUAAAAAAGCCACUCUUUAUCAUGAGAAGUAUGAUUUUCUGUACCUUAGGUGUUAUAAAGCAAUAUCCCCUCAGUUUUAACUUUACCAAAAUACCUGUCUUAGUAAAUGAUACUAUAUAUACCAAAUAUUGCAUAUGUGUAUAUAAACUUCAACUGUCUACUUCUAUCACUGACAGUUUAAAAAUUGAGAUAAAGUAAGUAUUAUCUGAGUAAUAUAACCAUUUUCUAUUUAUUUAUUUAUUUAGAAACAGUCUCACUCUGUCACCCAGGCUGGAGUGCAAUGGCUCGGUCUCAGCUCACUGCAACCUCCGCCUCCUGGAUUCAGGCAGUUCCCCCACCCCACCCUCCCGAGUAGCAGAGACGGGGUUUCACUGUGUUGGCCAGGCUGGUCUCGAACUCCUGACCUUGUGGUCUGCCCGCCUCGGCCCCCCAAAGUGCUGGGAUUACAGGCGUGAGCCACCGCACCCAGCCAAUCUAACCAUUUUCAAGAUUUGAUCUGCAAAUACCUGAAGUAAGUACAAGCACUGUGGCCCAGUUAAAGAGUGUUAGAACUGUAAGAAGUCCAAAGGCAUAGCUAAGAAUUGCUUUAGAGUCAGUUGUGGGUUCUGAAUUCUUGCUCUGAUAGUUAGCAACUAUGUCUACUUUGGCAAAUUUAGGUUUUGAAGCCUUCCAUAUCUUUAAAAGGAGGUAACAUUUAACAGAGCACCAAAUACAAGGUUUUCUGUAAUAUUAGUUCCAUAGCAUGGUCUGCAAACUUCCAACAUCAGAAUCUCCUGGGAUAUAUGCUAAAUGCAGAUUCUGGUUUCCCAACCAGAAUAUACUGCUUAAAAAUCUGAGGGUUAGUUCUAGGAAUCUGCAUUUUUUUCUAUACAAUGUAUGUAUUAGGGUUCCCUGGAGGGACAGAACUAAUAGGAGAUACAUAUAUAUACACACAUAUAUUUAUUAAGUUUAUUGAGAACUUACACGAUCACAAGGUCCCACAGUAGGCUGGCUGCAAGCUUGAGGAAAAGAGAGAGCCAGAGUCUGAGUCUGAAAACUGAAGAACUUGGGGGUCCAGUGUCUGAGGGCAGGAAGCAUCCAGCGUGGGAGAAGGAUGGAAGCUGGGAGGCUAGGCCAGUCUCUCCUCUUCACGUUUUUCUGCGUGCUUAUAUUCUACCUAUGCUGGUAGCUGAUUAGACUGUGCCCACCAGAUUGAGAGUGGGUGGGCCUUCCCCAGCCCACUAACUCAAAUGUUAAUCUCAUUUGGCAACACCCUUACAGACAAACCCAGGAUCAGUAUUUUGCAUCCUUCAAUCAAGUUGACACUUAGUAUUAACCAUCACAAUGUAUGAUUUUUAAAAUCUGCAUUUUUAAUAAGCUACUAGUUUAUUUUUCCACCUAAUCCAAUUCCUAAUUUUAUUUGAAAGCACCAAGGUAAAUAGUUCCUAAAUCACUGUUAUUUAAAUUGUGCUCCAGUACCCCUUAUUCUUGCUGCAAUUCCAAGACAGAGAUAACAAAAAUUUUUUUUUCAAUGUUUUGUUUUUUUGAGACAGAGUCUCGCUGUGUCCCCCAGGCUGGAGUGCAGUGGCUCGAUCUCGGCUCACUGCAAGCUCCGCCUCCCGGGUUCACGCCGUUCUCCUGCCUCAGCCUCCUGAGUAGCUGGGAUUACAGGCAUGUGCCACCACACCCUGCUAAUUUUUUGUAUUUUUUUUUUUAGUAGAGACGGGGUGCAUGCUGCAUGCUCCGCCUCCCGGGCUCUCGCCAUUCUCCUGCCUCAGCCUCCGGAGUAGCUGGGACUACAGGCGCCUGCCACCACGCCCGGCUAAUUUUUUGUAUUUUUACUGGAGACGGGUUUUCACUGUGUUAGACGGGAUAGUAUUGAUCUCCUGACCUCGUGAGCCACCGCGCCCGGCCUGCCAAAAUUUUUAAUGUUUGCAUGUACAUAGUUACUCAACAAAGAGGCCAGGUGUGGUGGCUCACGCCUAUAAUGCCAACACUUUGGGAGGGUUGCCUGAGCCCAGGAGUUCGAGACCAGCCUGGGCAACAUUGUAAGAGCCUGUCUCUUAAAAAUAUAUAUUUUGGGGAGCCAGGUGUGGCACCUCACGCCUGUAAUCCCAACACUGGGAGGCUGAGGUGAGUGGAUUGCUUGAGCUCAGGAGUUCGAGAUCAGCCUGGGCAACAUGGCGAAACCCUGUCUCUACCAAAAAAAAAAAAAAAAAAAAAAGUAGAGGCAUCGUGGUGUGUGCCUGUGGUCCUGGCUACUGGGAAGUCUGAAGUGGGAGGAUCGCUUGAGCCUAGGAGGUGGAGGUUGGAGUACGCCAAGAUCACACCACUGCAUUCCAGCCUUGGUGUCAGAGUUAGACCCUGUCUCAAAAAAUAUAUUUUAAAAUGAUAUUAAGUAAAGAAUAUAGUCCAGCCACAUGAGCAAGUAUUGCUUAUCUAGAAAGACGUAUAAUAAAGUUCUUUUGGGGAGAUAAACUAUGAUCCAUUCUAUGUUUCAUGUAAAUCAGGGGCAGCCAAUCUUCUGGCUUCCUUGGGCCACAUUGGAAGAAUUAUCUUGGGCCACACAUAAAAUACACUAACACUAAUGAUAGCUGAUGAGUUUUUAAAAAGAAUCACAAAAGCAAUGUUUUAGCAAAGUUUAUGAAUUUGUGUUGGGCUGCAUUCAAAGCUGUCCUGGGCCGCAAGGUGGAAAAAACUUGAUCUAAAGUAUUUGAUUUUUUUAGAAAAGUUUUUGAAUGGCCAGGUGUGGUGGCUCACACCUGUAAUCCCAGCACUUUGGGAGGCCGAGGCAGGCGGAUCACGAGAUCAGGAGAUCGAGACCAUCCUGGCCAACAUGCUGAAACUCCAUCUCUACUAAAAUACAAAAACUUAGCCAGGCAUGCUGGCAUGCGCUUGUAGUCCCAGCUACUCGGGAGGCUGAGGCAGGGGAAUCACUUGAACCCAGGAGGCGGAGGUUGCAGUACAGUGAGCCAAGAUCGCGCCACUGUACUCCAGCCUGGUGACAGAGCAAGACUGUCUCAAAAAAAAAAAAAAGGAAGCUUUUGAAUAAGAAGCAACUCUACAGUACUCUAUUGUAGACAACCAAAGUAUUAAUAUUUGGGGGGCACAAUUUCAACCAACUUUAAAUUAUUUCAUUCUGGAAGUAUGUGUUGAGUAAAUAUGAAGUAUAAGGCCCCUAGAGGUACAGAUGGCUAUGGCCGUCUAAACCAUUUUACUCUUAACUUUUAGUGUCAUGGACCUCUUUGUCAAUCUAGUGAAGUCUAUGGACCGCUUUUUUUUAAAAAAGCCUUUAAACAUAUAAAGUACAGUACAUUGAAUUACAAAAGGAUCCAAGAAUAUUGAAAUAGUUACCAAAAAAAUUUGAUAUAGAAAUAUAUGUGGUUUAUUAAUGAAUAAGAUCUAGCAGUGGCCUUACUAUAAUUUCAACACAGUAGCGUGGUGAGCAUAAAUAUUUCAACUUAUCUGCAACAAUUGUAAUGUGAUAUGGAAAUAAUCAGUUUAAUUGUGACAGUCACAUUUACUGCUAACUACUGUGAUUGACUGGCUAUGUUUACAUUUUAUUAGAAGUUAUUGAAAGUAGAUGCCAGGCAUGGUGGCUCAUGCCUGUAAUCCUAGCACUUUGGGAGGCCAAAGUGGGCAGAUCAUUUGAGCCCACGAGUUCGAGACCAGCCUGGCCAACAUGAUGAAGCCCUGUCUCUACUAAAAAUAAAAAAAAAAAUUAGCCUGGCAUGGUGGCCUGCUGUAGUCCCAGCUACUCACAAGGCUGAGGCAGAAGAAUCACUUGAACCAGGGAGGCAAAGAUUGCUGUGAGCUGAGAUCACGCCACUGCACUCCAGCCUGGGCAACAGAGCCCGACCCUGUCUCAAAAUAAAAGAGAGAUGUAAUGGACCCCUUUAAUUAAUCUAUAAACUCCUAAUUAAGAACCCUGGUUAAAAUUUUUUAAUAGGAGCUUGUCUUCUUCACUGUUGUAUCCAAAGCCUGACUGAAAUCUGUAGACACCUAAGCAGUGAAAAAUUUGAUGCCUUAACCUAUAUAAUUUAAAAUCAAAAUAUUUACACUAUAAGGUGAAUUUAAGGAAGAUCUCAUUUUUCUCAUGGUGAAGACUAAGAUACUUUUUCAAAAUUACUAAAUUUUCAUUUGUUUCAUCAGGGAUGAGGUUGGGGGAGGAUCUAGCUCCUUUAUUAAUACCUGAAUAUAUAGGUUUUAAUAUCCAAGCUUGACUAUAUCCACUACACUUGGUACACAACAGAACAAAUGAAUGAACAUUUUCAUGCCUGUAAUCCUAGCACUUUGAGAAGCCAAGGCAGGAGGAUUGCUUAAGCCCAGGAGCUUGUGACCAGCUUGGACAACAUAGGGAGACCUUAUCUCGACAAUAAAUUUAAAAAUUAGCUGGUUGUGGUGGCACGUGCUGGUAGUCCUAGCUACUGGGGAGGCUAAGGUGAGAGGAUCGCUUGAGCCCAAGAGGUUGAGGCUGCAGUGAGCCAUGAUCAUGCCACUGCACUCCAACUUGGGCUACAGAGCAAGACCUUGUCUCUCAACUAAAAAUAAAAAAUAAAAUUCACGAUACUCCCCAAAAGCUGAUGAUAACAUGUAAGAAGCGACUUGAUUUUACCUUCUAACUCUCCCUCCCUUUUAGCACAAUGCUGCAAAAUGACUGGCUCAUAAACCACUAAGCUGCCUUGGCAGCCACUUGUUAUUGUUACCAGUAGGUAAUAUGCUGUUUUCUUCUGCUUGGCACAUAAGCAGUAGGCAUGAAAUAAUUGCUUAAUGGAUAAGUAAGUUGUUAAAUUAUAAAACUCUGAUGGAUUGCUUAGUCCUUUAACAAUUUACACCCCCCUCCCACUUAUCCAAUUCUUUUGUGACAGAUUUUGCACUAGCAAAGUGCACUGUUUCAGACAAUCAAGGAAAUAAAACAUUUCUUGAUGAAAUCCUACCUCGCCUCAACAGGAAACUGAAUUGGAGUCCUCAAUUCUCAGUACAUCAGAACUAGUGUGUGAAAGGAUCAGGAGAGGACCAUAGUAUUGGAGAAUAAAACAUUAUGUAUUGAUGGUUGAGCUUUAUGUCAUCGUGUAGUAAAUGCUAUGACCAUAAAGCCAUUACUGUUAACACUUAAGUUUAUCUUCUGAAAGAAGCCUAUGAAAUAUCUCCAGAAAGACUAGGGGAUUUUCUUCUGUUUGUUUGUUUGUUUGUUUGAGAUGGAGUUUGCUCUGUUGCUCAGGCUGGAGUACAGUGGUGCGAUCUCGGCUCACUGCAACCUCUGCCUCCCAGGUUCAAGUCAUUCUCCUGCCUCAGCCUCUGGAGUAGCCAGGACUACGCACUGCGCCACCACACCCAGCUAAUUUUGUAUUUUUGGUGCAGACAGGGUUUCCCCAUGUUGGCCAGGCUGGUCUUGAACUCCUGGCCUCAAGUGAUCCGCCCACCUCGGCCCAAAGUGCUGGCCACCGCGCCCAGUCAGACUUGUUUUUUAGUGAAAUAAAUUGUUUUCCUUUAGGACCUUAUUCUUUAUGAUAACAGAUUCCAAGAAUAUGCAGUCUUGUCAAUGGCUGUUUCAUCCUCAGUUUCUUUAAAAAUAAAAUACAAUUAGAACAUUUUUAGAUAUGCUAUAUCUAUCCAAUCUAUUUUCCUGUCACCCAGUAAGGUUUUCUAUCAUCAGCACAGGUCUAUGAAAGGACAGUAAAGGGUCUCCUGUUACAUACCCUAGCACUAAUGUUUGUAAUAGAAUGUUAAGAUAAGUUGUUUCAUGUAAUCGGACUACAUUCAGUCUUUCUCUACCCUCUGUCCUCUAUUUACCCACCUAUGCAUGUGGCCUACUAAUUAUAUUGACUGUACAUGACCAGCAAGUUGUAAGUUCUUUUAAAAGCAGGAGCUCAACCAUAUUUGUAUUCACAUUUCCUUCUGCUUAAAACAGGGCUCUUGUUUCUUCAGUAAAUAUUCAUUCGGUAUCCACUAGGUGUCAGAUAAUAUACAAGGUAGGUUCUAGGGAUUCCAAGAUAAAUAAACACAGAUAUGCCAAUAUGAGUCUGACAGUUUUGGCGGGGAGAGGUGGAAAAUAGAUCUGCAAGCCAAAAAAGCUACAGUAGAAUAAUAUAAAUAUUGUAAUGGCAAUAAAAUACCAGAACUAUUAAUUUUACAUUUAGUAAUCAUUCAGUAUCAAUUAAAUGGGUAAAAUGGAUAUGUUGGCAUGAAUGACAUAUAACUGAAAAAACACUAAGAACUGUAUAGAAACUGAAUUAGACAUAUGAGUAAUAUUAGUAGGAAGGGGAGAGAAUAUUUGAUUCCAGGUAGGCUACCAAGCAGGAUGUUUUUUCAGCACAGCCUUGGAAUAAAAUCUGUAACCUUUGAAAACAAUCACAUUUUUGUUCUUAUGCAAUCUUUGUUUUUAAAUGUAUUUAUUGUUUUGGCUCUAGUCCCUGAAUGUUAAAAUUUUAGUGUCAGUGUUAAUUCUCACUUAUCUUCUCCAGACCUUACUCCCUAAUUUUCUCAUUUUCAUUUGCCCCAAUAAGUGCCAACCUUACCUUGAAUAGAAUAGUGGAUUUAUCAGCUUACAAGGACUAAAAAGUCGUCAUUUCCAAAAACAUCUGUCCAAUAAGUCUGCCUCAGUGACUACAUUUCUAGCAUUACAAUGUCAUUCUUAGUACACUGAUUUGAUCUUUACAAAUUACAUAAAUGUAUAAAAUUGUCGCAUGUACCCUAAAUUAUAUACAUCUAUUAUGUAUGUAUCAAUAAAAAAAUAAUUUUCUGUGCUUUUUCUCCUGUUAAAAAGAAUUCUUUUCUUUUUGAGACAGGGCCUGGCUCUGUCACCCAGGCUGGAGUGCAGUGGUGCAAUCUUGGCUCACUGCAGCCCCUGCCUCCCAGGCUGAAGUGAUCCUCCCACCUCAGCCUCCUGAGUAGUUGGGACUACAGAUGGGUACCACCAUGCCUGGCUAAGUUUUUGUAGAGACAGGGUUUUGCCAUGUUGUCCAGGCUGGUCUCAAACUCCUGAGCUCCAGCAGUCUUCCUGGCUUGGCUUCCCAAAGCGCUGGGAUUACAGGUGUGAGCCACCACACCCAGCUGAUUCUUUAGAAGACCAGUAUUGCAUUGUGAUUGCCUCUGGGCAGGAAAACUAAGGGGCAUCAGUAGACUAUGCAAUUACUUUCUUCCUCUUUAAAAAAGUAUUGUUAAUUUUUAAAUUUACAUAUUUUGGUAUACAAUUCUAUGAGUUUUGACAAAUGCAAAGAAUCAUAUAACCACCGCCAUAAUUGAGAUACUAAACAAUUCUAUCACCUCAAAAAAAAUCCUCUUGAGCUGUCUCAUUUAUAAUUUUUGUGAUUAAAAAUGGUUAUUUUUCAAAAAGUAACGUUUGGGCCAGUGCGCCUGGAGUGCACCAGUAGUCCCAGCUACUAGGGAGGCUGAGGCAGGAGAAUUGCUUGAACCCGGGAGGUGGCGAUUGCAAUCAGCUGAGAUCACACCACUGCACUCCACCCUGCAUAUAGUAGUGUUUCUUAAUGUUUUGGAUCCAUGGACUUAUAAAAAUUUUAUAAAAGCUAUGGCUACAUCCAGGAUGUUACCUCCCUCCCCUGCCACACACAAAAGGAAACAGCCAAGUCCCUCCCCUCACUCUAACCAUUCCCACAUCUAUAUUUGUGUAAAACCCAUGAUUUUAAACUGUUUGCAGCCCCUCUGUAAUCCAUUCACAUGACCCAAGAACUCAGCCCUGGAAACAUCUCUGGGUAUCCAGGUAGACUAAAAGCAUAGUUCCAUUAAUUUAUAGUGCUAUAUGGUUCUGCCAUGCUUUAUUGGUCCUUUAUAGACUUGAGAAAAUCACACCAUGCCUCUUGACCAUUAACAAAUGGUCAUGUUCAGUCUUCCUUUUUAUGAGUGGAAAUUCCAUCCAAUUUGCUUUUAGGUUCAUUAAUAUGUACUACAACCAAAAGAUCAGCAGCAUUAUAUACUUUAUCUUUUUUAGUCUUUUGAAGUACAAAUUAUGCGAUUUUACAGAUAAAUUAUCUCAUGGGUAGCAUAUGUCUGGCUUUCUAGGUGGAAUGAUUCCUAUUUCUUUUUGUACCUCUCCCCAUUCAGAACUCACUUUGAGGCCAAGCGUGGUUGCUCAGGCCUGUAAUCCCAGCACUUUGGGAGGCCGAGGCAGGUGGAUCACCUGAGGUCAGGAGUUGGAGACCAGCCUGGCCAACACGACAAACCCCGUCUCUACUAAAAAUACAAAAAUUAGCCUGGCAUGGUGGCACACACCUGUAAUUCCAGCUGCUCGGGAGGCUGAAGCAUGAGAAUCACUUGAACCUGGGAGGCAGAGGUUGCAGUGAGCCAAGGUUGCAGUGGAUCAAGAUCACACCACUGCACUCCAGCCUGGGCAAUAGAGUGAGACUCUGUCUCAAGAAGAAGAAAAAGAAAAAAAACUCACUUUAAACUCUGCUAGACCAUUGCCCUUGUAUGUGAAAUUUUAUCUGGAUAGAAGAAGAUGAGGAAAAAAAUUUUCUUGUCUUUUAGUGGAGGAGAAUGACAUGUAAAACAAGUAUUCUUUAAAAAUUCCAAAUAUGAUAUGAGAACUACCCCAUAAAGUUGUGAAGGUCACAUUGGUGAAAGGAAAACUAAGUGCUGUGUAAAUUACAAAGUUGUCUAAGUAUCCACCUGGUCCUUACCUUGCUAUAGAAUCUUUUUUUUUUUUAGACGGAGUCUAGCUCUGUCGCCCAGGCUGGAGUGCAGUGGCGCAAGCUCCGCUUACUGCAAGCUCCGCCUCCUGGGUUCAUGCCAUUCUCCUGCCUCAACCGCCCGAGUAGCUGGGAUUACAGGUGCCCACCACCACGCCCAGCUAAUUUUUUUUUUUUUUUUGUAUUUUUAGUAGAGACGGGGUUUUCCCAUGUUAGCCAGGAUGGUCUUGAUCUCCUGACCUCGUGAUCUGCCCACCUCGGCCUCCCAAGGUGCUGGGAUUACAGGUGUGAGCCACCACGCCCAGCCUACCUUGCUAUAGAAUCUUUAGGCCUAAUAUAGUCUAGCCAGAACAGCUAUUUGGAUGCUUGCCUAAUCUUCAAUACUGGUUUCCCUUUUAUACAUGACUGCAAAACUGACUCUCACCUAGGUUUGUGAUGUUAGAAACUCCAGUUGUUUACUAUUAUUAUUAAAGUGGGAAACGGAGUUCGUUGAUCAAAUGGAUUAAUGUUUUGAGUACUUACUAUACACCAGGGGCUCUUAAAUUUUUACAUAAACUUUCUGGAUGGAGAGUGAUAGAAUCUCCAUUGUUCACUUGCCACAAGCCACACCAUUUGUAGCUAACAUUUGAAUGCUUACUAUGAGCAAAGGCACUGUUCCAAGGGCAUUACAUGCACAUCAUUCAUAUUUCUCAUUUAAUCUUUAUAACAACUCCUUAAAAUACUGGUAGUAUUCUUGUUCCCUAAUUUGUCAAUAAGAAAACUGAAAUUUAGAGAUUAUACAAUUUGCCCAGCACUAUUGGAAAGCUGGGACUUUGAAACCUGGCUGAUUUGACUCCAAAGUCUGCACUCUAUUCCAACAGACUGCCAGUGCCUCCAGAAUUAAUUAGCAUUAAUAUUUUCUGUUGUUUAUGAUCUAAGUAUGGCUGUCCAUGGCAGGGAGUUAAUGAGGGAGGCAUUAAUGGGGAAACACUGGACCACUUCUGAGAGAUGUGGUGCCCUCCCUCACAAACAGGUUUCUUGUGGUGAAAUCAGGUUGGAAGGAUAAGAGAGGCUGAAGAAGGUGGAGGUGGUGUAGUUGGGCCUGUUUAGGAACUGAUUACAUCUGAGCCUCUGGCCCUUUUUCCUGCCAGCUGACUCAGAGCUGGCAGAUGGGCCAAAGUCCAGGCAGGUUGAUUUCAUGGGCUGUAUACUUCAAAGGAUCUGAUUCCUGGUGCUACUAAGCACAUUGCUUUUCCGAAGGCACAGUCUUGUGGGGGAGGGAACAGGAUGGUCUCCAUGAGGUGUUUGUGAAAGCCCUAGGCAAUGUUUGCUCUAAUCCAAAUAUAUACAGCUUGUUUUGAGUUUGGCAAUAAAACACAGAGCCAGCCCUAAGCAGGGCUGAAAACUGAGUAUUUAAACCUUAAGUAUUCUGCAAUACAACAACAGUUAAGUAUAUGGGUCCUAGAGUCAGAUAGAACUGAAAUCUAAUCUUGACUUCACCACUCAGCUGUAGAUAAAUUACUAGACCUCAGUUUUCUUGUUCGUGAAAUGGGGAUUUUAGUUAUAGAGUACCUACUUCAUAUGGUUGUCGUGAGGAUUAAACAAAAAUGUAUACCACAGUACCUGAGAUGUAGUAAACACUCUUGAAACAUUAGUCAUUAUUCAUUUUUUAAAUUUUUCCUUCAAAUACUUUCCUAUCCAAUAGUCAUUAUUCAUUGAAAACUUCUAUUUUAUAAGACGAUCUCAGCACUUAAACAAAAUAAAUUGAUUCAUCAUGUUUUCACUUAACAGGCAUUCAAAAGGCAUUUAUUAUUGUGUUGGGUAGAUGGAUGGAGAAAAUAGCAAUAAUUUUUGUUGAACACCUAAAAUGAGCCAAACUUUUUAAAAAAUAUUGUCUCAUUUUAUGCUCACAACAGCUCUAUGAAGUAUUUUCCUAUAUUAUAGAUGAGAUCAUGGGCCAAGAGAGGAUUAGCAACAUGCCUAAGAUCAUAUAGUCAGCACUGUCUAAUUCUGAAGCCUAUGAAUAAGGUAGCAUUUAUCCCCACGGAAGCAUGGUAUUCAGCAGGCAGGCAGACACAUAAACAAGUACAGCUGGCCCAUCUAGCCUCACGUUCUGCAUCCAUGGAUUCAACCAAAAAUGGAUUUAAAAUAUUGGGGAAAAAACAAAUAAUAAAACAACUAAAAAAUACAAAUUUUAAAAUAUAGUAUAACAACUACUUACAUAGCUUUUACAUUGUAUUAGGUAUUAUAAGUAAUGUAGAGAUGGUUUAAAGUAUACAAGAGAGUCUGGACACAGUGGCUUAUGCCUGUAAUCCCAGCUUUUUGGGAGGCCAAGGUGGGUGGAUCCCUUGAGCCCAGGAGUUUGAGACCAGCCUGAGCAACAAGAUGAAACCCUGUCUCUACAAAAAAUACAAAAAUUAGCCAGAUGUGUUGGUGCAUGCCUGUGGUCCCAGCUACUCGGGAGAGUGAGGUGGGAGAAUCACUUGAGCCUCAGAGAUCGAGGCUGCAGUAAGCUGUAAUCACGCCACUGCACUCCAGCCUGGGUGACAGAGUAAGACCCUGUCUCAAAAGUAAUAAUAAUAAUAAAGUAUACAAGAGGAUGUCAUAUGUUAUAUGCAAAUAUUAUACCUUUUUUUUUUUUUUUUUUUGAGACAGUCUCUUGCUCUGUUGCCCAGGCUGGAGUAGAGUGGUGCUAUCAUAGCUGACUGUAACCUCGAACUCUUUCCUGAACUUGAGUGAUCUUCCUGCUUCAGCCUCCCAAGUAGCUGAGACUACAGGCAUGUGCCAUCACAUCCAGCUAAUUUUUAAUUUUUAAUUUUUUUUGUAGAGAUGGGGUCUCACUGUGGUGCCCAGGCUGUUAUGCCAUUUUAUAUAAGGGACUUGAACAUCUGCAGAUUUCAAGGGGAAAGAGUUUGAGGUUACAGUCAGCUAUGAUAGCACCACUCUACUCCAGCCUGGGCAACAGAGCCAGAGACUGUCUCAAAAAAAAAAAAAAAAAGAGGAGAGUCCUGGAACCAACUCCCCACAGUUAUGGAGGAAGGACUGUACCUACAGUCAAAGUGCUGUCGUUGAGUUUUACACUAGGUGCUUGGGAGAACAGAAUGGAAUAGGUGAACUCUGGGCAUGAAGUGAAGGUAGUCCCCUUCACAGGAAUAAAUGCUAAUAAUGGGGCUUCAGGUGAGAAUGAGGAAGGAAGCCUUUGCUGGUGGAGGAGUUAAGGGAGUUCUUUCUGGGUUUCCCUAAGUCACACUAGAAGAAAAGGGUUACAGGGAGGCCUUUCUGGAAUUCCUCAAGUCAAUAUGACAGCCUCUUAGAUCCAGCAUUACAACUGCAGCAAAUUUUAUAGCUGCAAACAAAGAAACUGUCUCCAGAGAGACAGAUUAUGUUGUUUACUUGAGGCAAAAUGGUGGGGGUUCUAUAUAAAUGAUAUGUCUGCAUCCGAAUCAUCUGUACCUUUUUGGGCUUUAGAACCAAACCUAAUAGUAAUAAUAGCAACCAAUUCUUAACUGCAUGAUCAUUAGGUACUAAUCACUGCUAUGUUCACAGGCUAGAACUCUCAACUGGAGAAAGGUAGAGUUGUUUGUCUAAAUCAAUAAUCUCAAAUUAAGUACACUUAAUUUGAGCAUAUACCCCCAAUAUAUGUAUAUUACUUUAUAAGUUAUACACAUCCACUAUUGGGCUAAUAUAAAAUAUACAUUAUGAAAUGUAAACAAAAAGUUUGAAGGAAUACAAUGAAAAUGAAUAAACUUUUAUCUCAGGGAAAAUAUAUACUUAGGUUUCUGUAUCUUGUUAUUAAGUGGAUACAAAUUAAUACUGUAUUUCAAAUAGAUUUUUUAAUAGUUUUGGAUGUUUUGAGUCAGCUGGUCAGAUUUUGUUAAUCAUUGUAUUUAACUUCAUAAUGUGACUGAUGAAGGGAUCAUACUAAGUAAAAGUGUCAGUUCUGCCAUUUGAGAGUGGGGGAUCCUAUGUAUCAUCUUCAAUUCACAGGGUUUUCUUUUUCCCAGCAAUUUUUUAAAACCAAUUAUUCACUUUGUAAUAUUUCAUUUUGUUAAAGUUAGAUUUUAAAAAUCCAUAAAUCCCCUUUUGAACCACAAUAUGUCACUAAUGCUCAAAGAAAGAAACUCCAUUUGUAUCUCAUCUGAUGUGAGCGUCAAAUAUAGAAACAAUGUGGGGAUGCCAACCUCAAUCCAUAUGGAUGAAUAGGGCUUAAUUUUCUCAUGAUAAACCUAAGUAGAAGCUAUGAAAAUUCUUACCACACUUCAGUGAAUUAUCUUGUAUACCUCUAGAGUGAGCACAUUCCACUUUGGAGAUCAGUAGUCUCAGCAACAAGACCUGUGGCCAUAAAGUGGGAAUAAACAAUCCAAUUUUUAGCAAUGCUUGGCCCAGAUUCACUUAUGAGUGACAUGAGAAAGGUACAACAUGAUAUUCCAGGAAAUCAGAAGAGCUAAGUAUAUCUGAACCUUUGAGAGUAUGGCCUGUCCAUACAAAGGCAGAAUCUACAUUUGUCAAGUGCCUUCAAGAAACAUUCUACCAAGAUAUGCACCUCCACAAAAGUAAGAAAAAGAGAAAAAAAAGAUUUUAAAAUUUUAUUUUAUUUUUUUGAGAUGGAGUCUCGCUCUGUCCCCCAGGUUGGAGUGCAGUGGCGCUAUCUCAGCUCACUGCAAGCUCCGCCUCCCAGGUUCACUCCAUUCUCCUGCCUCAGCCUCCCAAGUAGCUGGGACUACAGGCGCCCACCACCACACCCGGCUAUUUUUUUUUUUUUGUAUUUUUAGUAGAGACGGGGUUUCACCGUGUUAGCCAGGAUGGUCUCAAUCUCCUGACCUCGUGAUCCACCCACCUUGGCCUCCCAAAGUGCUGGGAUUACAGGCGUGAGCCACCGCACCUGGCCUUUAAAAUUUUAUUUUUAAAAAAUCACACACACACAAAAUACAUUCUACUUUUUAAGAAAAUUGACUUAGAUUUAAUCCCAGCUCUGCUAUUUGCUAACCAUGCAAUUUUGGGAAAGUAACGACCUAUUGGAGCCUGUUUCCCAUCUCCAAAGUGAGAAUGAUUAAUGCUAUACCUACUUCACUGAGAAGAAGAGUGUAUCAUGGUCAUAUUGACCCCUCACUAUGUGCAUAGAGAUGCUGAGCUAAACUCUUUACAAGCGUUUAUUUAAUCCUCAAUAUACCAGUGACUAGAGGCUAAGCAGUUUACCAAAGCAUUUUCCUUUCCCUCCUUAGCACACAGGACUAUAUUUCCUGGCCUCCUUUGCAGUUAGGUGCAGCCACAUUACUGUGUUCUAGCCAUUGAAAUAUGGAAAGAAAUGAUCAAUACUACCUCCAGCCCUGGCCCAUAAAACUUUCCUUUCCAUUCUUCGUGCUCUCAUUCUUCCUUCAUCUGCCGGAGGAUUCAGCAGAACCAUUAGGUGCACAGAGCUCUUCUCUCCUCCCACUACUUCCAACGUGCAUUGAACUGUGAUGUGAGCCAGAAAUAAACUCUUAUUGUGUUAAAU